This is a non-coding RNA of Phalacrocorax carbo (great cormorant), 1130 nucleotides long. NCBI's taxonomy places the organism in Eukaryota, Metazoa, Chordata, Aves, Suliformes, Phalacrocoracidae. The record is from RefSeq and is a predicted model, not a curated record.
GCCCGGCCGCCGCCGAGCUCUCCUCUCCCCGCCGCAGGAAAGCCGGGCUGGAGCGAAAACCUCUCCUUUGUCAGCGGGGCAGAGUUCACGAGGGGGGCCCCCUGCCCACCUUCGCGUUUCCUUAGAUGAGGCGGGGAGAGACAGGAUGCGGGGAAGGAGGAGCGGGCAACUUCUGAAUUGAAAGGAAAAACUUGAGUAGAACUAUGAAGAUAUGCAUCUAAAUGUUGCAGCUGUGUAAUGGGAACCACACAGUAACACAGAUGUGAAGGUAUCAUUUCUCUCUGGAGCGUUAGCGCCCAGCCCAGACUUUGGGCUGCCUCACUGCUGCUGUACGCCUUCUGAAGCCUGCGGAAAGCUACGGGAAUGCACGGUCCGUUUCGUUCCAAAGUACUUGAAAGAGGAUUGCUCUAUGAAGGAGGCUAUCCUGGUGGUCCUCAUGUUCCCCAGAGUGUGAAUUUGAAAUACAGGAAAUGGAUAAAUCCAGAUCUUAUCCCAGAGAUACAUAAAAUGGACUACAAACCGCCAUUGGCCACUUCACUUUUACCUCUCGUCCAUGAAGAAACGAAAGAACUGCUUGAGACAAGGCUUCCCCCACUGUUGGCAGAAGAUCUGUCGUUUGCCGCCUACCUGAUACUUGUAUAAUUACCCGUGAGCAUGAUGUGCUCCGAGAUGACAGGCUGUGGUACAAGAAGCGGUUAGAGGACGACAACGUAAAAGUGACCUGGUACCACGUGGAAGGCGGCUUCCACCGUCCACUGGGAUUUUUUGGUUAUGCUAUUUUCUCUUUUCCAUCAUCAAGUAGAACAGCAAACCAUACUGUAAACUUUAUAAAAGGCUAUUAAAAUGUUUUCUUGAAUACAGUGAACUGGUAUGCAGACAGUGUGUAUUUCAAUUAACUAUUUACUAGCUAGUUGUACAUUAGAAUCGAUGGAAAAAAUAAGAAGUGAAUAUUAGCAUGGCCUGCUGAAUUCUGGUUUUCAAUUGCUAUUACUUGGGAACAUGAUGUAUUUUUAACCUUUUUCUUUAACCCCAUUAAUUGGUAUGCUUGUUUUGCUGUGCUCUUCUUACAUUGUAAAAAUUUUUGUUAUCUUCUUAUGCCAAAGAAUAAAAACUCACCAUAGCAAAAACCA